CCUGAGAGAGCGGCUGAUGGAGAAGGGAAGGAGCAAAAGGAAGCUGAGAGAAAUGAAGAGCAGAGUGAGUCAGUGCUCACGGCGGAGACGGAAGAGAUGGCGGUGGUAAGUUCACCGCAGCAGGCAGUAAGCAACCACAAGGGUUUGGCAAGGAAGGUAUUGCCGGACGUGUUAGGAUUAUUAAAUUCUCGUUUAUGGAGUCUUUGGGG
This 209-nucleotide unclassified non-coding RNA is filed under the name Hevea brasiliensis (rubber tree). Lineage: Eukaryota; Viridiplantae; Streptophyta; Magnoliopsida; Malpighiales; Euphorbiaceae. The record is from RNAcentral.